Molecule: long non-coding RNA, 1098 nt
Filed under: Canis lupus familiaris (dog)
Lineage: Eukaryota; Metazoa; Chordata; Mammalia; Carnivora; Canidae
Description: lncRNA (ENSCAFG00030003757.1)
Source: RNAcentral
AUGGGAUCCAGCGGCGGCGGGAGGUGCGGUGGGGGUGGGGGUGGGGGUGGGGGUGGGGGUGGGGUGGGGGUGGGGGUGCGGCCCGCGGAGGGCUACGGACCGACCCAGGGGGACUCGGAAGAGGAGGACGCGCGGACACAGAGGGGGUGGGGACGGAUGCACCGACCGGGGCCCCGGGGACCCGAGACGGACGGGCGAACGCGCGGAGGGUCGAGGGACCGGCCGACGAGGGGGCCUCGGCUGCUGCCGCUGGGCGCAGGGACAGACCGACGGACGGCGGACGGCGGCACCGGCGGGCUCGGGGCGCCACGGGACUGGCGCUGGCCACCGCUCAGUUUCUCAGUUUCAGAAACGGGAACCGGAUCGGGGGCGGGGGGCAGGGGGGGCGCCCCAGGGGUAGCCCGAUCCCACCUCGGGGCCGGGCCCUCACUCACCUCCCGCGCACCGCCAGGCGCCAGGGGUCGCGGCGGCUGGGGUCCAGUCCCGGCGCCGUUCCCGGGAGCGCAAGGACGGUGGUCGGGGCGGGCCCGACCGGGACGGGCCCGUAGGCCGGUGAGUCCCGUCCGGGCCUCCGCGCGGCGGGCGGAUGCCGGGGGUCGCUCCGGGGAUCCCGGGGCCGCCGCCUCCCUCGCUCGCGCCGCUGCACACGGAAGUGCGAGGGGGCGGGGCGGCGCGACCUCACCCAGGUGCCGGCCCCGGCCCCGGCCCCGCCCCCGCCCCGGCCCCGCCCCGGCCCGGCCCCGCCCCCGCCGCGAGGAGGGGUCCCGGCCCCGCCUCCCGGGCGCGCGCUCUCGGCCCUCCCCGGCACGCUGCGGCUCCCGCCCACCCUCGCAGCGCGCCCCGGCCGCAGGAGGCGCCCGGCUCCGCGGAGCAGGACGCAGAGGCCCGCGGGAGGGGGCUCCCUCCCCACCCCUAGCACACCGAGGCCCGGGGGCGCCGGCGGGGCUUCCCCAGCUCGCAGCGCCCACGCCCGGGACUCCCCGCCGGCCCGCUGGCCCGCCGCGCCGGGCCUCGCUCUGUCUUCCUGUUGGCUGGAGUGCGGACGCGGCCGGGCCGGGUGCCCACCGCCGGGCGGGCUGGGCCGGGCCCUGCCCCUGA